This 29-nucleotide small RNA is filed under the name Bombyx mori (domestic silkworm). Its description in RNAcentral is "ovarian small RNA-38198". Lineage: Eukaryota; Metazoa; Arthropoda; Insecta; Lepidoptera; Bombycidae. The record is from RNAcentral.
UUGUUGUUGGUGAUAGGCAGGUGUGCCAC